Molecule: long non-coding RNA, 512 nt
Filed under: Cucumis sativus (cucumber)
Lineage: Eukaryota; Viridiplantae; Streptophyta; Magnoliopsida; Cucurbitales; Cucurbitaceae
Description: long non-coding RNA (CSAT_LNC002210)
Source: RNAcentral
GUAGUAUACCUUCUUCGGUGGUGGUGGUGAGUAGACGGGAGGUGGGUAGUACACCUUCUUCGGUGGUGGUGGUGAGUAGACGGGAGGUGGGUAGUACACCUUCUUCGGUGGUGGUGGUGAGUAGACGGGAGGUGGGUAGUAUACCUUCUUUGGCGGUGGUGGUGAGUAGACUGGUGGUGGGUAGUAUACUUUCUUUGGUGGUGGAGGAGACUUAUAGACGGGUGGUGGAUAGUAUACCUUCUUGGGAGGUGGGGGAGACUUGUAGACUGGAGGUGGGUAGUAUACCUUCUUUGGUGGUGGAGGAGACUUAUAGACGGGAGGAGGGUAGUAUACCUUCUUGGGAGGUGGGGGAGACUUGUAGACGGGAGGUGGGUAGUACACCUUCUUGGGAGGUGGGGGAGACUUGUAGACGGGAGGUGGGUAGUACACCUUCUUGGGAGGCGGGGGAGACUUGUAGACGGGAGGUGGGUAAUACACCUUCUUAGGUGGCGGAGGAGACUUGUAGACGGGAG